GAUAAAUCAAGGCUUUUUAUUCCCCUGCUAAGGGAGUAGGACGUGUAAAAAGCGUCGCGGAGGUUCAAAUCCUCUCUUCCGCGCCA
This 86-nucleotide transfer RNA is filed under the name Caudoviricetes sp. Its description in RNAcentral is "tRNA-OTHER". The record is from RNAcentral. Lineage: Duplodnaviria; Heunggongvirae; Uroviricota; Caudoviricetes.